AACGUAGGACGCAAGCGUUAUCCGGAGUUACUGGGCGUAAAGCGCGGGCAGGCGGCUCGAUGCGUCUGAUGUGAAAUCUCCUCGCUCAACGGGGAGAGGCCAUUGGAAACGGUCGGGCUGGAGGGCAGUAGAGGCAGGCGGAAUUCCGGGUGGAGUGGUGAAAUGCGUAGAGAUCCGGAGGAACACCAGAGGCGAAGGCGGCCUGCUGGGCUGCACCUGACGCUGAGACGCGAAAGCCAGGGGAGCGAACGGG
This 253-nucleotide ribosomal RNA is filed under the name uncultured bacterium. RNAcentral describes it as "partial 16S ribosomal RNA". It matches the Rfam family "Bacterial small subunit ribosomal RNA", at positions 524 to 776 of the family's 1533-position model. The record is from RNAcentral.